GCAGGAAGCUUCUCAAGGAGGAGGUGAUAUCUGUGAGGGCCACCCUGCAGAUGGACCCCCAGGGAGCCCAGGAGAGACAGCAGCAGCAGGGUGUCGUCCCCUUCCUGGGCAUGUUCCUCUAUCACCUCAAGCUGCUGGACAUUGGGAUGGCAGAUGAUCUGGAAGUGAGUGAGCCUGGA
Diceros bicornis minor is the source of this 179-nucleotide long non-coding RNA. RefSeq lists it as uncharacterized. The record is from RefSeq and is a predicted model, not a curated record. NCBI's taxonomy places the organism in Eukaryota, Metazoa, Chordata, Mammalia, Perissodactyla, Rhinocerotidae. The transcript has 3 exons.